GCGGCUCGUGCAGCUCCGCCAAUUAGGAGCACUGAGCGUGACCACGUGAACAAAUCCCGUUGUCUAAAUUCCCGUUCAGCGGCGAGCAGCUCGGAGUGAGCGGCAGCACUGAAAGCCACAUUGAGAGGGAAGUAAUAACGGAGCGGUGCUCAGACAGGAGAAACCAGCAGGCGGCUCCGGGCUCUCUAGCUCGCUCGCGCUCGCUGCCCGGUUGUCAAGGCACUUUGUGACUUCUCCUCGUUGCGGCUGGACGGUGACGGCUCAGAUUGGCUCCCUCUCGGAUUUUUGCCCGUUUGGAUUUCUAUAUUUUGGUGUCACUGACGGACUCUCAGCUGCGAAUUGCCAACACUGUACUGAAGCCUGCCUGCUCUGACAGCGCGACUCCACACAGACAGACAGGCUGAUAGACACCGAGGAAGAAGCGGGCAGAUAAACAGAUAGGAGGACAGAGGGAGAAGUACAGCCUCUCAUUGAGUGGUGGCUGGAGUGACAGAGGAGCACAUGAAGAGGGGAAACGGCGUGACAGCAACAUCCUGACCGGUAACCUCGCUUCCGCACCCCACCACGCGCCCGGCAAACUCCAAGCAAGCGGGGCGUCAGAAGGAAGGAAACGCGCGACCACUCCUCCUGCAGGCAUGAGGUCCUUCCGUUCCUUUAGUAACGAUGACCGCCAUGUCAUGGCUAAACACUCCACCAUCUACCCUUCCUCUCAAGAGCUAGAGGCAGUUCAGACGCUGGUGUCCACUGUCGAGUGCGCCCUCAAACACGUCUCUGAUUGGCUGGAUCAGAGCAGCAGCGACGUCCACAGCCAGGUCAACAGCCAACCAGCAGACAGCACAGAGGAGGAUGACCCUGGCGAUGAGCCCGGCGAUGAAACUGAGGAAUCCAAUGACGGCUACAGGGAGUCCAGCGGUGGUGGCGUGCUGUGUGGAGUGAUGAGGAUCGGCCUGGUUGCCAAAGGCCUCCUGAUCAAAGGCGACAUGGACCUAGAGCUGGUGCUGAUGUGCAGAGACAAACCUACACAGACACUGCUGGACACUGUCUGUCACAAUUUACCCACACAGAUAGAGAAGCUGACAGAGGAGAAAUAUGAGGUCGCAAGCUCCUUACCCGAGGCAGCCAUCUUGGUACAAACUACAACAGAGCCCAAACUCACACUGAAGAUUACCCUCACCUCACCGGCCAUGAGGGAAGACGAGGAAGAAGAGGAGGAGGAGGAGGAGGAGCAGGAAGAGGAGGAAGGGGAGAUGGAGAAUGGAGAGGAAGGAGAGCAGGAGGAUGAAGAGGAGGAGGAGGAAGUGCAGGAGGAAGAGGAGGAGCAGGAGAAGAACGGGCGAGUGUUGGGUGCUGCUGCGCACAGAGUGGAGGCUGAGGAGGAGGAGGAGGAGGAGGGGGAGGUGCUGGAUAGACACAGAUGUCUGUUGGCCCUGGCAGCGCUGCGACACGCCAAGUGGUUCCAGGCUCGAGUGAACGGGCUCAAGUCCUGCGUUAUUGUUCUCAGGAUACUUAGAGACAUGUGCAAUAGACACCCCGUCUGGGAGCCUCUCAAAGGAUGGCCCUUAGAGCUUAUCUGUGAGAAGGCAAUUGCCACCUGCAACAGACCUCUUGGGGCAGGAGAAGCCCUGCGUCGAGUCAUGGAGUGUCUGGCCUCAGGCAUACUGCUACCAGGUGGUCCAGGUUUACACGACCCAUGUGAGAAAGAGCCAACAAACACACUAGCCAACAUGACCGACCAGCAGGCUGAGGACAUUACCUACAGCGCACAGCAUGCUCUCAGACUCAUGGCAUUCGGGCAGAUCUACAAGGUGUUGGAGAUGGAACCUCUCCCCUCAAAUAAACCUUCACAGAAAUACCCUUGGUCCGAUAAAGAAGGUUUAGGUCUGAAGAGGCCAUACGAGGAUGGAGCAAUGGAUGACAAGGACCUCAUUAAGAAGAUGAAGAGGAAUCUGAGGAAAGUCUUGGACAGUAAAGCCAUAGACUCCAACCAGCCAAUGAACGCUCUGAUGCGGCUGAACCAGAUCCGGCCAGGGCUGCAGUACCGCCUGCUGUCCCAGUCGGGCCCGGUUCACGCUCCGGUCUUCACCAUGUCUGUGGAUCUAGAUGGAACCAUUUAUGAAGCAUCUGGAUCCUCCAAGAAAACCGCCAAGCUCCACGUCGCUGUCAAGGUUCUCCAGGCAAUGGGCUACCCGACGGGUUUCGACUCAGACCUGGACCCCAUGAGUUCAGAUGAGAAAUCAGAUGGCGAGGGGAAGAGCGAGACAUCCUCACACAUUAGCAAUAACCCAACACACUCCUCGGACAGUUCCAACACACUGGAGGUGCGAACUCAGGGUCCCAUACUGACAGCAAGUGGGAAGAAUCCCGUCAUGGAGCUAAACGAGAAGAGAAGAGGCCUCAAAUAUGAGCUUAUCUCUGAAAGUGGAGGAAGCCAUGACAAACGUUUUCUUAUGGAGGUGGAGGUGGAUGGGCAGAAGUUUCGUGGGGCAGGCCCCAACAAAAAGGUAGCAAAGGCCAGCGCUGCUCUGGCAGCUCUGGAAAAACUCUUCUCUGGUCCCAAUGCAGCUGCAAACAAGAAAAAGAAGAUAUUGCCUCAGACUAAAGGAGCCCUGGCGGCGGCGGCAGCAGCCUCAGCAGUAGCAGCUCAGGUAGCCAGAGGGAGAGGAAGAGCAGCCCUUGCAAGAGGAGCCUUCGUCAGUACAGCUGCACCUGGAUAUGUCACGCCAGGCUUCGGGACACCGUAUGGCUACAGCCCUGCUGCAGCAGCUGCUCCUGCAUACGGUUUGCCCAAGAGAAUGCUUCUGUUGCCUGUCAUGAAAGUGCCCGCCUACCCCGUCCCCCACUACCACUUCUUUUAGCACAGGAGACAUACAUACCAAACACACCUUUUUCUAGAAGGGAAACUCAGUCUGUUUUGUUUUUUUGUUGUUUUUUUUUUCUACAAUAUCAUGGGGAGAGGAUUAAGGACUUGAGCUGAAGAUUUGUAAAAGCGCUUUUUUGCCUUUUUUUUGUUUAAUUUUCAUACUGUUUCCAAAAACUUUUAUGAAUAUGAAAAAAAUAAUUGCAGGUUUAAGUUCUUAAGAGAUAAACAAAAACUUGAAGGAUUUGUACUGUGAAUUGUUACCUCAUUCUUUGAGUCUAAAUUAUAUAUAUAAACCUUUUAUUAUUGUGCUUAUGCUUUGCUUUGAGGAGGAUAGCCUUUGCAAUAUAAUACACACAACACACACAUUGUUUGUGAAAAUAAUAAUGUGAGCUGUGUGAAGGAUGUAUAGGAUUAAAUAAAUAAUGUUGAAAAAUGAAUAAAGUUUAUCUCCUAUAAAAGCUGAACACUGCCUGGUGUAUAUCUGAUUUAAAGGCUUUCAGCCGAUGCAGUAGCACCUUUUUGUUUGGCUGGCUUUGUUUUGUAGUGGAUUUGGCCUUUGUCAUGCAGUUAUAACAUGUGAAAGGAUUUACCCACUCUUUAAACUGAUGCACAAUCCUGUGACCUAAACUAACAUUUGAACAUGAAGCUUUAAUAUUCCACCCUCAUACAUUCCCGCUGAUUGAAUUUCAAGCUUUCCACGUUCCUCAGCGCCUCUCGUUACAUCCUUUUGACCCUCGGCUUAUAGAUAUUCAGAGAGAAAGGCUAGAAGACAAAGGAUGAAUUUAGAAAACGCUUCUUAGAUCCCGCAUCUUGCAUUCAGCUGCACGAUCUCAUUACCUUAUGUGGAUUAAUAUUUGGCAGAUUUGCCACAGCUAUCACCUACAGUACAUAUGGACAGCUUUUAUAUGUUGUCACAGCCAACUGUAACCAUAUUGCGCCUACACAUACUACAUCUAGAUCCACGCAUUUUUUUCCACUUGACUUGUGCAUGUAGUUGUCACUUUACAGUCAGUCAAAAGCAGCAAUAAGGGACCCACGUGAAUUCAAACGUCACUGUCAAUAUGUUUUAUGUUAUUCUUUCAUUAUUUCCAUAUCAUUGCUGUAUUUGUUUUUUGUACCUUUUUGCUCAGCCUUCCCAUCAGGACCAGCAUCACCUGAGCCACUGAAACAUGGCUUCAAAACAGUCACUCUAUGACUCUCGAAUUUUCAAACAAAGGUUUAAAAAUUUGUCACAAGAAUGACCUAAUGUUGCAGGUAAAAAAAACAAAUGAUUGCUAAAUUGAAUUAAUUAAUGAAAUGAUUAAUUGGUUAAAACAUAAAGAGAGGAGCCCAGCUAAAUGAAGUACAGUAGAGGAGAUACUUCAGGUUAUUCUGUCGACUUACCAAAGGUCAAUGGUCAGUGCCAGUCAAGACAGAGUUAAGCUGGCCCUUCACCACGUCCUGGUCAUCCAACCAGCGAGAGAUAACCCCUGACGACGUCUCCAUGGUUACGGCUAUGAGGCACAGCCAUUGGAUGAGAGGAUCCAGUAUCUUGUCCAAUGGCGGACUUUUCAUUGACAAUCCCUUCUACCAGCCGCGGACCAUCGCUCCUUUUAUCAUUCACCUGGGUCCCCAAGAUCUCUUCUCUGACUUCUAGAGGCAGCAGGUUGCUGGAUAGUCUCUUCACACCUAACCUGGCUGCUCACAUGCCCACCUGUUUUUUCUGUCCCGUCCGAGUGGGCUGCCUUUCUAUCCCAGCUGACGGACCCACAUAUCCAACACUGCUUCAGUUUUGAUCAGUCCGCUGGAGAGGGAAAAAAAACUUUCUGCCUGACAACAGCGACAGAACUGUCUGACCUACUGACUGAGGGGCUCAAAGCUCCUCUCUCCGUUUCCUGUUCUCUGCAUCCAGAUUAUCACAUCAGAGGAGAGCAACUCUACAAUAAGCAAUACUCGGAUUUUACGAGAAACGUUCAGCUGCGACUGUGUGAGGCUGGGCUGAACUUUGGUCUUUCAUAUAGCAAUACAUCUGAACUCCUCUGUUCGAGCUUAUACUUACUUGAGAAGAUGUGAAUGUUCGAUGGAGUUUUACCCAACACAGCAUUGCAAUAGUUCAUUUUGAUUGUAUAUUCAUUGUAUGUGUGUGUACGUGUGGCUAUAACGUGACUAUAUACACAUAUGUACGGUGUAUGUUUCUAUAAUGAUGUGUUGACAAUAAUAUUACUAUAUGAUGAUGUAUUUAUGUAAAUACUCUAUAAAAUAUAACUAUUGUUGGUAUAAAUUAUUUUAGAAUUAUAAAGUGAAAUGUAACUAAUAUCACAGUAUAGCUUUCUUCCAAUUUUAUAUACACUGAGCAAUUGAAGCUAGUUCUAGGAGAUGCAAUAUUAUCUUUGGUAUUCCUAUUAACCUGUGCUGUUAGAAUAAUGCUUCCUUCUUUCCUUUCCUUCCUUCCUCUCCUUUCCUUCCUCUAUCUUUGAUGUCUUUCUGAGCCUUUCUGAGCACGCUCUCUGCUGCCCGAGGUUUGUUUACGUGGCCUGGACAAAGAGGUGCUCACUACUGAACACACUCAUCACCUAAUCACACCUGUGCACACACACACACACACACAAACACACAUUUGUACACACACUUUACCUGUCAGAAAGCACAUUUUCUAUAGUCUCACUACUGGCAGGGAAUACAAUUGUUAAAAAUAUUCUAUAUGUAUGAUAUGUGUAUACUCUGAAUUACGCGCUCCUCCCUCAAACCAUUAACACACCGUAACGGACUCACCCAUCAACACACAGCUCUGUCCCGUUCGCCUUAGGGAUCGAAAGCACAGCUCACUGGCACCGCUUACUUCUCCUUCUUUCUGCAAACACACACAUUCACACACACCCUUCCUUCCACCCUCCUGUUGUCACUCUAUGCUGUAUGGAAGUGAUGCUGCUUGUGGCAGAAACGUCUUUGACAAGGGGCCUUGUUACAUGAUGGGAAAGACACAGCACAAACUAGUGGCGUACUAAUUAAACGACUGGAUUGGAUUUAUAUGCUCCUGCCUGUACAUCACCUUUAUCAUUUCCGCAGACUGAUCGCUCCUGUGUUUAUAUAGUGGGAUUUUAGGGUUCAUUCAUGGAUGUAGGGAUAUUUCAGUUGUUGUUGAUGUCAGCUGAAUGGAUGUUUUGCAGCUUGUGUUGCAUUAGAGCAAAGGAAAGGAAGCCAGGGUAGAAGUAAGCAAGACAGAGAAAGUUUCAGUGACCAUGGCUGCCUGUGAUGGAUGGCAAUGAUAUCUGUCAAUUAAGAAGCACACAAAACUUCUUUCUAAGCAUUAAAGACCCUGAAAACUUCCACUAACACUCAGCUAAUCUGAGGGGUUGAACGGGUUGAUCAUUGUUGCUAAAUCCUGAUUGGUGCACUUGUUGUGACAUCACCUCUUUCUAACUGAACCUUGUUCACCUGACACUAGUGAGAAAAGGUCUUCCAGCUUUGGGAGAAGAUAGAAUCAGUUAUAGCAGGAAGCUGAUUGAGGGAAUUUGUUUUAAGGGUCUUUAAUAUGCUCUUCAUGGAACAGUGAUUCUCAUUAACAUUUUCAUUAAGGCCCACAUUUGAAAAACUGAAAUUAACUUCUGAUAUUGAAACAGCUUGUAAAAAAAAAAAAAAAAAAAAAAAAAAGAAAUACACAUACACAUACACUGACUUUGUAUUUUGAGACAGAAGAUUUCAAGCCUCUUCUUACGAUUUGUGGAUGCAUGUUGAGGUAUUUCUGCCCUGGCCUCAGCUCUCACACACAGUGCUGGUGCAAAGGUUACUGCAAAGAGAUUUUGAGAAGAGAAAGCAGAGUUUUGUUCAUUGUAAUUUUUACUCUCAAAAUACUUGUAUAUUGUUUAUUAAUACUUGAGUGUAUAGAGGUAGUGUUGUUAGUUUAGCCAUGCUAACGCACAUAACAGAGUUUACAUAGGUAGUAAAUAGACUGGGAUGAGAUAUUCCAUUAAACUCUAAAGUGCUUUAUUCAUGUAGUAUGUUGGGUCUAAAUUCUGGGGUAUUGUUGGAACCGAACAGGUGUCUCAACACUGCAUGAACUUCCAGGGCAGUCUCAGUGUGCACACUGUACUUACUGAGAUUUCGGUGAACUUCUGUGACGCUUACGUGUUUCUGAAAGCUUUUUGUCGGUUAUUUUUUAUUUUUAGCCUUUAAUAGAGACAAUAUGUCAGUCAGCAAAGACAAAAUCGAACAGGAUGUGCAUCAAAAGGCUGUGAUUCUCACGCUCGCCUUGAUCUGGGUGCCAGCUUUAUUCAACAAAAACUACGUGUGAGAAACAGACAAUAGAUUCAUUAAGGCUCAUAAAGCCAAUUUUUCAAGACAAGUUAAAUUAGAAUCAGAUUUCAUGACACUACUGAGCCGACAGUGAAAAGAAUUUGGCACUUUUAGUGAAGACGCAAUAAAAUUGUGACACUAAGCUGUGAUUGAGAGAUUGGAGAUAAACUAGAGGAAGUCCUGUACUUCCUUUACUGUUGUUUUUUGGUCUCGGGGCAGUGAGGUCAAGCUCACCAGCUCUUGGUCACUAAUGUUUGAACAGAUGUUUCCUCAACCUCAGCAGCUGGACUUAUCCACACAGUGUUCAUGGGGUAUCCACCGUCCUGCACUGGAGGAAUCGGUGGAUGAAGUCUUGAUUAUACAGUCAUAGAAAUGUCACUGGUCAAUACUUGUAAUGGCACCCAAGCUGCCCCUUCAGUGUCCUGGAAAUCAAAACUUUAUAGAUAUUUUAUCUGCUAAUCUCUGUUUACAUAGAGUAUGUGAACUAGAUCUGCCUGGAAUUCAAAGGAAUAAAUUAGUGCUAAGAUCGUCUUACUUCUCUGACAUGCAGCAGCAUUAAAAUACUAAGCUGUCUUGUAGAAACUAGAUCCUGCUUCUUAAAAGAAUCACCUACUCUGACAUACUCUCCAUGUUUAAUGACUCUAAGCUUUUUUAUUUUUUACUGUGGUUCUCCAUCACAUCAGCGAAAGCAUAGUCGUCUCCCCUCUAAAAGUCUUGAACAGGGACCUGAGCGAUCACUGCUUUGCUCAGACUUUUCAUCCUCGUGUGGAAUUCACAUGCAGGUGAAAUAAGCUCCAAGUUUCACUGUGUGGAAACAGGCCUUGUCUAUCAGCUAAGAAUUUCUCCUAAUUUCCCCUCUGCCCUUUCUCCGUCUCUCUCUCGCUCUCUCUCGUGCUCUCUCUGUGCCCCUGUCCUCUCUCUCCAGAUGGCCCACAUUAAUAAGGCAGACAGUCAUACUUCAGUGAGCAACCUUUUCAUUUCCCCUCAGACUGAGCAGAGACACACAAGGAGUCACCCUGACUACUGACCCUGUCCUCUUGGUCUGUUGGCUGGACGGCCGCGUUCAGAGGAGAGGUGGCAGAGUGAGAGCUCAGGGAAACGCAGUUGGUCUAAAACUGGCACAAGCGGUCUGGUGGGACUGUACAGGCUGGUCCGCAGUCAUAGAUGGUGUUAAUUUACUGGGGAGUUAUUGUUUGGUUAGACAGAGGUCCCAGAUGUGUGUUUCUUGUUGGAAUUUGCAGUGAAAAGGAGAAAAAGAUUACCACAACCUGAAAGCCCUGUGUUUUCAGUCUGAUGUUUAAUUUAAAAGAUAUUCUCCAAGUAUCCAAGCAGUUCUUGGUCUAAAAGAGAUUAUUGCAGGGAAAAGAAAGAAAAUAUCACCCAUAUCUUCUCUGGCUGUGUUUCCCAUACUGUAGCACCACCAUGAAGAAGACAGGACCAGUCAUAGCCCACUAUGUCUGAAAUGAAAUGUCUCAGAAUAGAAAACAUUCCUGUGACAGGUUUUUCCUGAAGAAACACACUCACAGUAGCUGUGUUUACAGGCUUGGACAGUAACGUCCAUGUGGAUGACUUUUCUAGAGAGUAAUGGUUGUUUGUGCUGGACUUGAGUCCCACAGAGUUUUCUGAUGGAUGUUGUUCCUGCUCCAGUGUUUGCCAGAAAAUGUCUCUAUGCCAGGGGAGACCAUGGCAGCCAUUGUCCACACACACACACACACACACACACACACACACAUCCAUCCCUGCACCCUACAAACACUGCCUCUUGGUGGGCUUUCAACAACAACUACACCUGUAAUCUAAGAAGCACAAAACACACACACAAGCAAUACACCCACACAUCCUUCUCAGGGCUACCUGACACACACAUGUAUAUGCAAAUGGACAAAUAUACACUUUCAAGCACACAUGUAAUCAUAUAUGUAAAUAUAUAUUUCAGCAUUCACAGUCAAUAACAGCCGAGCACAUUGAGACCGCAUGACAUUCUUUGCUCCGUGGUUUGUAUAUCACACAUAUGAUUGUACUGUAUGUAGUGAGAGUCACACAAGUGGUUAGGCCUUGUUUGUAUUUUAGGAAUUGAGCCAUGUAAGAAAAACACACCCCCAUCUACCCCAUUUAUUAUCUUGGUGCUUAAUAACGGGCUGUCUGUAGCACUGUACAUAAUGGGUUUUACUUUGAACUUUGCUUUUCUGGAGAAACAGCAGUUAUAUGUGGACAACUCGAGCUUUGCUGUCAGGAGAAAAGAGGGAGGAGUGCCGUCAUCAAAAAAUUUUUUUAGCACCAAAAUACAGGGGCUUUGCACGUCGAGAUGCUGCAGUAAUGUUCAGUAGUUUAAAGAGCUCCGAGUCCUUUGGUUGCCAGGUAACAUCAGGUUUUUGGACUUUCUAUUUUGGAAACCAUGCAAGCUUGCUUUCCCAAAAGGCACCGCUUUAGCUUCCUGCCAGGUCAAAGGUCAAAAAGGAAAGCAAAGGUUGCUUUUGGGAAACGGGUUUUUGGUUUGUUCCGCAGGAUGGGAUUUAUCCAGACACCAAAGGCUCUGAAGCCUUUGUUGCAUAAAUCUGAUCAUCCCGGCAGUCUCAGAAGUGAGAAGUAUGUGAUCUGAUAUUCUCUGUCUAUACAGUUAUGAAAUGCCAGGUUAAAAAAAACAAACCAGCUCUCCUGUGUGUAAAUCCAGCCUCUGAAGGAAAACUGUGUCUUGCUCAUUCUUGCAUUAGCACAGAAAGUUGGGGUUUACAUCUGGCUAAAUUUGUCUGGAAGCAAGAGGGAGAAGAGCUGCACAAAGAGCCGGAAAGUCCAUCCACAAGUCACUCAGCAGAACUCAGCAGAGCAGCAGAAAUAGAUCCGGGAUCACGUUUCAGCUGCUGAGGCAAAGUUAACCAGACUAACUGCUGAACAGACCAUUUUCUCUGGGUGUGUGUGCAUGUGUGUCGAGGGGGACGUGUGUCUGUUUGUGUGUAUGUCUGACAAGCACAUGAACCGGAGGGGAUGGGAAGCUAUUUUACACCCAUAUGUGCACACACACGCGCACACACAAACACACACACACACACACAUAUAGUCACAUUGAGCAUGUUGCAUACUUCCUGGUCAUGGUCAACUGAUUGUUUAAGUCCAAUAUCCUCCUGAUAAACAAUCAAAGCAUUUUGGUUGGGAAUGUACGCUGUUGUUAUAGUGAUUGUAGAGUAGAAUGUAUUUACUCAUAGAAAGAGUAAACUUGCUUUUUGUAGAGAAGCAUAUAUACAGAAUAUAUAUGGAUACAUACAUAUAUAUAUACAUCUAUAUAUCUUUUGAACCACUUGUUGGUGAGAGUUGUUUUGGGUGCAUCCAUCCUGUUAGGAUUCAUAAUUUUUUUCCCCCCUUUUUCAAUUUUUAUUUAUGAUGUUUUGACAGAAGUAGCGAAUUUAUGAGUGAUGAGUGUUUCAUUUUUCCUGUAAAUAUUAUUUUUUAAUUUUAUUUCUGACAACAAGGGGAUUAAAAGAAGCUGUUUUAUGAUGCUGCCUAUGAAAUUAUGAAGUGAUAUCUCUCCACAGAAGCUAUUUGAUCCAUUAAAUUAUCUGAGUAAAUUUUGUGGAAUGUAACAAUCUCGCAGGCCAUGCUGAACAGAGGCCAGUGACAGUGAAAGAGGGGAAUCAUUUGAAACUCACUUUAUUGAUAGUUUUUAAUUGGUAGCAACAUUCACAGAAGUGAUGAUCUGUGGUUGUCACUGUUCUUGACAUAAUCUAUGCUUAAUGAACUGAAAAUAAAACUGAAAAAGUGCUGAAUCUCUGAA
Molecule: RNA transcript, 10898 nt
Organism: Seriola aureovittata
Lineage: Eukaryota; Metazoa; Chordata; Actinopteri; Carangiformes; Carangidae
Gene: strbp
Gene name: spermatid perinuclear RNA binding protein
Exons: 21
Source: RefSeq, a predicted model, not a curated record